This 286-nucleotide ribosomal RNA is filed under the name uncultured bacterium. RNAcentral describes it as "partial 16S ribosomal RNA". It matches the Rfam family "Bacterial small subunit ribosomal RNA", at positions 333 to 616 of the family's 1533-position model. The record is from RNAcentral.
AUGAACCUACGGGGCGCAGCAGUGAGGAAUAUUGGUCAAUGGUCGGGAGACUGAACCAGCCAAGCCGCGUGAGGGAUGAAGGUACAGAGUAUCGUAAACCUCUUUUGUCAGGGAACAAAGGCGGGGACGUGUCCCCGGAUGAGUGUACCUGAAGAAAAAGCAUCGGCUAACUCCGUGCCAGCAGCCGCGGUAAUACGGAGGAUGCGAGCGUUAUCCGGAUUUAUUGGGUUUAAAGGGUGCGUAGGCGGGCUUUUAAGUCAGCGGUAAAAUCGCGGGGCUCAACCUC